RNAcentral lists this ribosomal RNA (253 nucleotides) under uncultured bacterium. RNAcentral's name for it is "partial 16S ribosomal RNA". It matches the Rfam family "Bacterial small subunit ribosomal RNA", at positions 524 to 776 of the family's 1533-position model. The record is from RNAcentral.
UACGGGGGGAGCAAGCGUUGUUCGGAUUUACUGGGCGUAAAGGGCGCGUAGGCGGCGUAACAAGUCACUUGUGAAAUCUCCGGGCUUAACCCGGAGCGGCCAAGUGAUACUGUUGUGCUAGAGUGCGGAAGGGGCUACUGGAAUUCUCGGUGUAGCGGUGAAAUGCGUAGAUAUCGAGAGGAACACCAGUGGCGAAGGCGACUACCUGGCCUGUUCUUGACGCUGAGGCGCGAAAGCUAGGGUAGCAAACGGG